RNAcentral lists this ribosomal RNA (875 nucleotides) under Tricholoma cf. terreum OUC99342. RNAcentral's name for it is "eukaryotic LSU rRNA". The stretch from base 302 to 455 matches the Rfam family "5.8S ribosomal RNA". Lineage: Eukaryota; Fungi; Basidiomycota; Agaricomycetes; Agaricales; Tricholomataceae. The record is from RNAcentral.
UUAGAGGAAGUAAAAGUCGUAACAAGGUUUCCGUAGGUGAACCUGCGGAAGGAUCAUUAUUGAAUAAGCUUGGUCGGGUUGCUGCUGGCCCUUUGGGGCAUGUGCACACCCGACACCAACUUUUCUUACCACCUGUGAACUUUUUGUGGACUUGGAAUACCUUUCCGAGGCAACUCGGUUUUGAGGAUUGCUGUGCAUAAGCCAGCUUUCCUUAUACUUUCCUGUCUAUGUUUUUAAUAUCCUCCUAAUUGCAUGUUUUUUAUAUAUAAAAAUAGGGCUUGAUUGCCUUUUAAACUUAUACAACUUUCAACAACGGAUCUCUUGGCUCUCGCAUCGAUGAAGAACGCAGCGAAAUGCGAUAAGUAAUGUGAAUUGCAGAAUUCAGUGAAUCAUCGAAUCUUUGAACGCACCUUGCGCUCCUUGGUAUUCCGAGGAGCAUGCCUGUUUGAGUGUCAUGAAAUUCUCAAGCUUGUAAGCUUUUACUAGCUGAUCAGGCUUGGAUGUGGGAGUUUGCGGGCUUCUCGAGAAAGUUGGCUCUCCUUAAAUUCAUUAGCGGGACCUUUUUGGUUGCUCCGGCCUUUGGUGUGAUAAUUGUUUACGCUAUUGUUGGAGUGAUUUGGGUGCAGCUUCUAAUUGUCUUUGAGACAAUGUAUAUGACAAUUUGACCUCAAAUCAAGUAGGACUACCCGCUGAACUUAAGCAUAUCAAUAAGCGGAGGAAAAGAAACUAACAAGGAUUCCCCUAGUAACUGCGAGUGAAGCGGGAAAAGCUCAAAUUUAAAAUCUGAGGGUCUGUGUAGCCUUCCGAAUUGUAAUCUAGAGAAGUGUUAUCCGCGCUGGACCGUGUACAAGUCUCCUGGAACGGAGCGUCAUAGA